RNAcentral lists this ribosomal RNA (464 nucleotides) under Locharna strigipennis. RNAcentral describes it as "partial large subunit ribosomal RNA". The record is from RNAcentral. Lineage: Eukaryota; Metazoa; Arthropoda; Insecta; Lepidoptera; Erebidae.
UGCCCCCUGAUUAAUAAUUAAAGGGGUGCAGUAUUUUGACUGUACAAAGGUAGCAUAAUCAAUAGUCAUUUAAUUGAUGACUUGUAUGAAGGAUUGGAUGAAAUAUAAGCUGUUUCAUAUGUAAUUUAUAAAAUUUAAUUUUUUAGUUAAAAAGCUAAAAUAUUUUAAAAAGACGAGAAGACCCUAUAGAGUUUAAUUUUUUUUUUAUUUAAUUAUAUUUGUUAUAAAUAAAUUAAUUUUUAAAUAAUGAGAAAAUUUUAUUGGGGUGAUAGAAAAAUUAAAUAAACUUUUUUUCAAUAAAAACAUUAAUAAGUGAUUAUUUGAUCCAAUAUUUAUUGAUUAUAAGAAAAAAUUACCUUAGGGAUAACAGCGUAAUUUUUUUUUUUAGUUCAUAUAAAAAAAAGAGUUUGCGACCUCGAUGUUGGAUUAAGAUAAAAUUUAAAUGCAAAAGUUUAAAAUUUUGA